This 830-nucleotide ribosomal RNA is filed under the name uncultured Pseudonocardiaceae bacterium. Its description in RNAcentral is "bacterial SSU rRNA". It matches the Rfam family "Bacterial small subunit ribosomal RNA", at positions 58 to 900 of the family's 1533-position model. Lineage: Bacteria; Bacillati; Actinomycetota; Actinomycetes; Pseudonocardiales; Pseudonocardiaceae. The record is from RNAcentral.
CAAGUCGAGCGGUAAGGCCCUUUCGGGGGUACACGAGCGGCGAACGGGUGAGUAACACGUGGGUGACCUGCCCUCAGCUCUGGGAUAAGCCCGGGAAACUGGGUCUAAUACUGGAUAUGACUCCACGGUGCAUGUCGUGGGGUGGAAAGCCUUGUGCGGCUGAGGAUGGGCCCGCGGCCUAUCAGCUUGUUGGUGGGGUGAUGGCCUACCAAGGCGACGACGGGUAGCCGGCCUGAGAGGGCGACCGGCCACACUGGGACUGAGACACGGCCCAGACUCCUACGGGAGGCAGCAGUGGGGAAUCUUGCGCAAUGGGCGAAAGCCUGACGCAGCGACGCCGCGUGAGGGAUGACGGCCUUCGGGUUGUAAACCUCUUUCAGCUCCGACGAAGCGGAAGUGACGGUAGGAGCAGAAGAAGCACCGGCCAACUACGUGCCAGCAGCCGCGGUAAUACGUAGGGUGCAAGCGUUGUCCGGAAUUAUUGGGCGUAAAGAGCUCGUAGGCGGUCUGUCGCGUCGGCUGUGAAAACUCGGGGCUCAACUCCGAGCUUGCAGUCGAUACGGGCAGGCUAGAGUUCGGCAGGGGAGACUGGAAUUCCUGGUGUAGCGGUGAAAUGCGCAGAUAUCAGGAGGAACACCGGUGGCGAAGGCGGGUCUCUGGGCCGAUACUGACGCUGAGGAGCGAAAGCGUGGGGAGCGAACAGGAUUAGAUACCCUGGUAGUCCACGCCGUAAACGUUGGGCGCUAGGUGUGGGAUCCCUUCCACGGGUUCCGUGCCGCAGCUAACGCAUUAAGCGCCCCGCCUGGGGAGUACGGCCGCAAGGCUAAAAC